UACGGAGGAUGCAAGCGUUAUCCGGAUUCAUUGGGUUUAAAGGGUGCGCAGGUGGGAAAAUAAGUCAGUGGUGAAAUACUGCCGCUUAACGGUAGAAUUGCCAUUGAUACUGUUUUUCUUGAGUAUGGUUGAGGUAGGUGGAAUGUGUUGUGUAGCGGUGAAAUGCAUAGAUAUGACACAGAACGCCGAUUGCGAAGGCAGCUUACUAAGCCAUUACUGACGCUGAGGCACGAAAGCGUGGGGAUCAAACAGGAUUAGAUACCCC
This 265-nucleotide ribosomal RNA is filed under the name uncultured bacterium. Its description in RNAcentral is "partial 16S ribosomal RNA". It matches the Rfam family "Bacterial small subunit ribosomal RNA", at positions 524 to 788 of the family's 1533-position model. The record is from RNAcentral.